This 634-nucleotide long non-coding RNA is filed under the name Sus scrofa (pig). Its description in RNAcentral is "lncRNA (ENSSSCG00025049212.1, ENSSSCG00055024216.1)". Lineage: Eukaryota; Metazoa; Chordata; Mammalia; Artiodactyla; Suidae. The record is from RNAcentral.
UGGACCUGGAGUGAGGAAGCAGCUAGAACUGGCUCCAGAAAUGUUUCCUGUGUUUCAGCAGCAUUUUAGCUCUUUAGCAAAUUCCAGCUUUAUCCCACGACCUUGGCUACGAUGAAAAUGGGAUUAUACUUAUCUCUGCUAUUUCAGACGGACUGGCGGGAGUCCCUUCGAUAACAUCAAGAUGGCAGAGAGGCGGUCUUUUGGAAUCUUGAUCCUGACCCUAACAGGUCCGGGGGUGCCCAAGAUGCCGCAUGGGAAGCAAGGUGGCUGGUGCUCAGAUCACACCUCCCUCGAGCAGCACGAGGCUCAGGUUGACUCAAGGCUCUGCCAUGCACCGUCCUGGCUCCAGGACACAACUGAUGAGGCAGCUGUUGUCUGGAGCGUUGCUGGUUCCUGGGGCAGAGGAAAGGAACUAUCUGGAGAAACUCACGCAGGCAAUUAAAUGCCCUGGCCUGGAAGACACCCACAUCACUUCACAGCACACGGGGCAGAUCUGGUGACAGUCCCACGAGGGAGCCAAGAAGUUCAGUGCUACCAGGUGCCAGAGAGACAGACUCUUGGGGGAACCAUGUAAUGAUUACUGUAGCUUUUAUUAUCCUUAUUAUUCACAAUUAUAAUGAAAACAUCCUGUGGC